UUUUUUUAAUAAAUUCUACUACAUUAGAUCCUUUAUCAGCCUUCUUUGGUUUUAAUCACACUUCUGGGCAGGAAUCCUCUCCCCAUCUUUCUCUUUGACACACAUGCAACCACAUGCUUUCAUACCCAUAAAUGUCUAUGUGUUACUUUUUGACCUCUUGCAAUUUUUAUAUUUUCAGGGGGAAGGCUGGAAGAAAUAGAGUGCAGGAUCUAAAGAAAAGAUAGCUCAAUUACAGCUGUUCUUUUUUUCCAUCUCUUAUUUCCAGAGAGAGCAAUCUAUUUCAAAAAUUGACUAGGGAAGAUGUUUCCAUCCAUAGGAAAGACAUUGCAAUGGACACCUGGAAAUUUGAAAAUGUACUUUGACUUCAGAUUUUGAACAUUCAGCCCAACUUCAAAACAUUAGGGCUCAAAACCGUUAUUCACUGUGUGCUGACUGACCUCUCCCAUUCCCAGGCUCAACAACUUAUUCUAGUGCUUUGGUUUGUGUUAAUUCCCCAUCUAAAUAUUUCAGCAAGGAAGAACACCGGGGAGAUCAAUGAGAUUUUCCAAAAAAUUGGGAAUAGCAAAUAUUUUCUGGUAGCUCCUCCCAUCAAACACCCUGCUGUGCAACUGGGAAUGCUUCAUCCUCAUUUCUUCUGCCAAUAAGCUGCACCCGGAGGUAUGCAGAUCAAUACUAUUGCUUGAUGUACAUGAAAAGGUGAAUAAAUCAAGAGAAACAUGAAGCAAACAGGAAAGGAAUAUCUCUUUUCCUAGGAACAUUGUGAUGUGUGUUUCUUAUCCCAGCAAAGUCAGAGGGAAAAUAAAUGAAGGCACAGAAGUCUCCUAUGAGCCAGUGAUGCUCCAGAGUGGCUCAGAACCAGGAUCACUCGAUGACAGAGAAAUCUGCCCUACUUGUCCCAGUUACCUCUCACUUGCCCAGGUCUCCACAGUGCUGAAGCAUGCCUCUUGCCUGAAAUUCUGUUCCUCUUGUCCUGAGCUGAACCAAACAGUGUUUCUCCUGUCACAGUUUUCUUGCUCUGUCUUGCUAGCUUUUUAAAAUUCUUUCUCCUUUGCUUACGCUUUACCAGUGUAGAUGGCUCUUAUUGUAGAUCGAUGUCUUCCUUUUCAUGUCUCCUGACACCUAGUUGUCCUGCUUGCAGGUUGGCAACUUGCAGGGUUUUGAUGCUUGCUCUUUUCUCAUCCUUGUUCCAUCUCUUGGAGUCAUUCAAGACCACAGUUACAGCCAUGCAUCAGCUCACACCAUCUGCCUUUUGUUCUCCACAUGCAGUCACUCUUCCUCUCAGACCUCUCUCUUUCUGCCAUUUCCUUUGCUCCCAUUUUUUCUUCAUUUCCUAUUAAACAUUUUUUGUUUGUUUGUUUACCUCAGUCUCUUCUGUGUUCUUGUGUUAUUGAGUGUAUGGCAUCACUGCAAAGACAAUAUGCAGUCAAUAUAUGGGUCCCUCACCCAAAAAUCCUGGGCUAAUUGAUCUGAAAGGUAGAUUGCAUCCUUACUCUGUAUAGCUUCUCAAGCCAUGCAGAGGUUCAUUCUUCCUGUGGCUAUCCAGACAAGCUACUGCAACUCAGUUUUUGCCUUACG
This is a long non-coding RNA of Numida meleagris (helmeted guineafowl), 1575 nucleotides long. NCBI's taxonomy places the organism in Eukaryota, Metazoa, Chordata, Aves, Galliformes, Numididae. The record is from Ensembl.